CUCCUACGGGAGGCAGCAGUGGGUAAUAUUGCACAAUGGGCNAAAGCCUGAUGCAGCAUCGCCGCGUGAGCGAUNAAGGCCUUCGGGGUCGUAAAGCUCUGUCCUCAAGNAAGAUAAUGACGGUACUUNAGGAGNNAANCCCCGGCUAUCUACGUGCCAGCANCCGCGGUAAUACGUAGGGGGCUAGCGUUAUCCGGAUUUACUAGGCGUAAAGGGUGCGUAGGCGGUCUUUUAAGUCGGGANUGAAAGGCUACGGCUCAACCGUAGUAAGCUCUUGAAACUGGAGGACUUGAGUGCAGGANAGUAGAGUGGAAUUCCUAGUGUAGCGGUGAAAUGCGUAGAUAUUAGGA
RNAcentral lists this ribosomal RNA (350 nucleotides) under uncultured bacterium. RNAcentral's name for it is "partial 16S ribosomal RNA". It matches the Rfam family "Bacterial small subunit ribosomal RNA", at positions 336 to 702 of the family's 1533-position model. The record is from RNAcentral.